This 242-nucleotide long non-coding RNA is filed under the name Setaria italica (foxtail millet). RNAcentral describes it as "long non-coding RNA (SITA_LNC004511)". Lineage: Eukaryota; Viridiplantae; Streptophyta; Magnoliopsida; Poales; Poaceae. The record is from RNAcentral.
ACAAGAGUAACGAUCUGAUCCGAGGCUAUCUUCCCUCCCGGAGUGGCGAUCACAUAGGAUUCCUUAGUGUGACCGACAUCCAGCUCACAUCUUUCUCUAGCCUUACUCCCGAUAAAGCUAUGAGAGGCUCUCGAGUCAAACAACACAACAACAGCUUGAUUUAAGACAAGGAAAGUACCCGUCAUUACUGGUGCACCUUCGGGGAGUUCGGUCAAGCUGGUGUAGUUGAGCCGGCCUUGUCG